This 253-nucleotide ribosomal RNA is filed under the name uncultured bacterium. RNAcentral's name for it is "partial 16S ribosomal RNA". It matches the Rfam family "Bacterial small subunit ribosomal RNA", at positions 524 to 776 of the family's 1533-position model. The record is from RNAcentral.
UACGAAGGGUGCAAGCGUUAAUCGGAAUUACUGGGCGUAAAGCGUGCGUAGGUGGUUUGUUAAGUCUGCUGUGAAAGCCCUGGGCUCAACCUGGGAAUGCCGGUGGGUACUGACAAGCUAGAGUGCGGUAGAGGAGGGUGGAAUUCCCGGUGUAGCGGUGAAAUGCGUAGAGAUCGGGAGGAACAUCAGUGGCGAAGGCGGCCCUCUGGACCAGCACUGACGCUGAGGCACGAAAGCGUGGGGAGCAAACAGG